GCUUAAUUCUCUCUCGAAGUGGAGAGGAGCCAUAUAACCCAAACGUCUCAGCGUUUCUCUCACCGGCCCUGAGUUAGCAGCGGUCUGGUUUGCGAGGCAAAAUGGAACUUAAGAAGAAAUUUUGGGAGACAUGGCGAAAGGAAUAUACCAUUAAAACUGCUUUACUUGAGUCAUUAAUUUUGAUAGUGGUCGAAAAAAUAAUGGAAGCUGAAUUUAAAUGUUCUCCAAAGAAGACCUUGAGAGUCUGCUACGGUGUCCUCUAUUUUGUUAUUCCAGCUGGGAUUUUGUUUUUACUAAGCAUGGCUUUUCAGCCAAAAUGCCCUUGUGCCAAGAAACGGUGCAAUAGCUGCAGUGACUUUUUUGAGUCUUGUGCUAAGAUUUUCUUGCCUUCUCUUAUAUGGAUUGUCAUUCUUCUCAUGGAUGGAAAAUACAUGGCUUGUCUGUGUAAAACAGAUGAAGAAAUCAUCACAGGAGACAAUACGAAACAGCCCAGUGAUUGUUAUAUACAUUCACAGAUUUCAGGUCUAGUCCUCAUUCUCGGGAUAGUUGUCUCUUUUGCCAUAUACAAGUUCUCACGUUGGCACUCCAACUGCGGUGAAAGCAUUGAGACGCAAGAUCAACUUGAAAUGGGGGAUACUUCGACCACAAAGCAAAAUUAGUGAAGGACAUCGUGGAACCUCAUGUCUCAGUUUGUUUGGACAAAGUUUUGGCGGUUAUUGAGGAAGAGCGUUCGUGUGAUCGACGUCAAGCUGUUCCCAAGUAGAGUGACCAGCUAGCACAGGGCUGGGCAAACCUUUUGGCCCGAGAGCCACAUCGGGGUUGCAAAACUGUAUGGAGGGCCGGGUAGGGAAGGCUGUGCCCCCCCAAACAGCCUGGCCCCCACCACCUAUUCACCCCCUCCCACUUCCCGCCCCCUGACUGUCCCUCUCAGAACUCCCGAUGCAUCCAACCCCCCCUGCUCCUUGUCCCGUCAGUGCCCCCUCCUGGGACCCCUGCCGUUAACCGCCCCCCCCAGGACCCCACUCCCUAUCCAACACCCCCUUCUCUCUGUCUCCGGACUGCCCUGCCCCCUAUUCACACCCCUGCCCCCUAACAGGCCCCUCAGGACUCCCACACCUAUUCAGCCCACCCUGUUCCCUGUCCUUUGACUGCUCCCCCCACACCUCAGCCCCAUCCAACCGGCCCCUGCUCCUUGUCCCCUAACCGCCCCCUGGGUCCCCACCCCCUAUCCAACCCCCCCGCUCCCUGUCCCCUAACCGCCCCAACCCCUAUACACACCCCUGCCCCUAACCGCCUCCUGGGUCCCCACCCCCUAUCCAACCCCCCUGCUCCCUGUCCCCUAACUGCCCCAACCCCUAUCCACAUCCCUUCCCCUAACCGCCCCCUGUGUCCCCAGCCCCUAUCCAACCCCCCUGCUCCCUGUCCCUUAACCACCCCAACCCCUAUCCACACCCCUGCCCCUAACCACCCCCUGGGUCCCCACCCUCUAUCCAACCCCAUUCCCUGUCCCCUAACCGCCCCCCAAAUCUCUGCCCCUUGUGAUUUUAGUAUCCUGAAGAGAGUCUGGUCUGUUCUUCCCACCGCUGGUGAGUGCAGGCCUGGCCCUGCUGCAGACCUCAGGGGAGUGGGGUGGGGGUGGCUAGGGACGGCCCUGCCAGC
Chelonoidis abingdonii (Abingdon island giant tortoise) is the source of this 1659-nucleotide long non-coding RNA. NCBI's taxonomy places the organism in Eukaryota, Metazoa, Chordata, Testudines, Testudinidae. The record is from Ensembl.